This 419-nucleotide unclassified non-coding RNA is filed under the name Cussonia paniculata. Its description in RNAcentral is "partial contains external transcribed spacer and 18S ribosomal RNA". Lineage: Eukaryota; Viridiplantae; Streptophyta; Magnoliopsida; Apiales; Araliaceae. The record is from RNAcentral.
CCCUGCUUGUGCAGCGACGGCCACUCUUUCAUUCCUUUUCAUUCUUGCUCCAAGCGCGAUAUGCCUUGGAUCAACUCGGUUGCCUGUGUUGUAUACCUACGUCGAUGGAAUUCUCUUGUCCAAUCGCCCCUAAUUCACCUUGCGCUGCUCACGCGGUGCGAGAUGAACCAUGCAGUGUUCUUUGUUGUCCGUUCUUGCCACACGUUCGCGCGUCGCAUGAAAUGGCCAACGUUGCAACACUCGAAUUCUCGGAUACGGAACCUUAAGUGGGUAAUGGGUCUUUGGCCUUUAUUUGCCCAAACUAAGCGUUCUCGCUUCUUACGAACGAUUGUCGCGCCCGUUUUUGACCUGAGGAUACUUUCGGUCCGAUUGGCUCAUGCGGUGCCGGCGUCGAAGAGGAAUGCUACCUGGUUGAUCCU